CGGCAUUUGGCGGGGCUUUUGUCUCUCGCUGCAGCCAGAGCUUGGGAUCGCUUUCUGCUAUUCAACGUCCUCCACCUCUGCCCCCCUCUCGCCCCAGCCGGUGACAGGCUGUUGCCCUGUGAUCUGCAGGUCCUGGGACGUGCACAGACAGCUAAGAUGCCAGGACAUUCCAGAAGGUGGGAAAGGCACCUGAGUAAUUUGACUCUCCUGCCUGGACCCAGCGUACAGAUGGGAUUGUGCUUCAUUGCUGGACCCAGCAUUUAGGCCCACUACCUAUGAGAUUGCAUGCUCCUGCCUGGGCUGUGCCCACAGUGACCUUGUGACAUAUAUCUGCAUCCAUGACCUAAAAGAUGUGACACUUCUUGCCUGCAACCUGCCCUGCACAGGAAAGAUUGCGACUUCUCCCUGGAAGCAGACACCAGGAGAGAACUGUAACAUAUCCCUGGAUGAGCACCCAGGUGAUGUGAUAUUCCUGCUUGGUUCUUUCCCUCAGGGAAGAUUGUGAGAUACCCUUGGCUGAAAUCCCAGGUCAUACAGAAUUGCCACCCUCCAACAUAUCAUAUAAUGCCCUCGAGUGUUACAAAGAGUGUUAUCCCAAGGCACACAGCACAAAGGGAUCGUCACUCCCGUGGAUGAUCAAAGGCGCCUGUAAUUUCAGCUACUCCGGGGGCUGAGGCAGGAGAAUCGCUUGAACUCGGGAAGCAGAAGUUGCAGUGAGCCAAGGUCGCACCACUGCACUCCAGCCCAGGCGACAUUGUGAGACUCCAUCUCAAAAAAAAAAAAAAGAAAAAAAGUGUACUAACAAGACCCAGCACACAGAGGAGACUUUUACCAUUGUAUGAACACCCAUCAAACAGUACACAUCAUCAUUGUGAGUUCUGAAUCUCACACAUAGAGGAAGUCAAAGGUGGAAAACUUGACUCUCAUAUUUGGAUCCAGUCCACAGGUUCUGCUAGCAAGGAAGACUGAGACAUAUUGUGGGGCUCUACGCCAAUGUGACAUUACUGUUCUGCCUUGGCCUGUACCUGAAAAGGCAUUGUGACAUAUUGCUGGGCCCAGCAACAAGGUGGCAUGAGUCUUCCGUAUGGACCCUGACAACAGAGCAUUGUGACAUAUCUUUAAGAGCAUCAACUAUUUGAUGUGACUCUCCUUUUCUACCAAGGCUUUCCUCAUAUGAGAGAUUGUGACACAUCUUCUGGCACAGAAAUCAAGUGAUGUGUUUCUCCUGCCUGAGCUUUGCUCAUAGAAAGCAUUGUGACAUAUCUCUGGUCUCAGCACCCAGGUGUGAUUUUGACGCACACUUCUGCCCAGCACCUGAGUAAUGUGAUUCUUCAGAAUUGGCCCGGCCCACAAAUAGGAUUGUGCCACACUGCUGGACCCAGUGCCUAAGUGAUGUAACUCUAUUCUUCUGCCUUGGUGCUACUCGAAAAAGACAUUGUAACAUAUCUCAGAGCCUUACACCCAGGUAAUGUGAGUCUCCUCUUCUGCCUUGCUGCUGCACACAGAAGCGGAAUAUGUACAGGAUUGUUAAUCUCAUCUUGGAUCUUCCUGCACUUGUGAUUGUGACACAUGCCUCUGUGUAGAACCUGAGUGAGUUUACUCUCCUGCCUGGAUUUAACCCAUAGAUGGAAUCGUGACAUAUCACUGUACCAGAAACUAGGUGAUGUGACUCUAUUUUCUUGCCUCUGUGUUUUUAUAUGGGGCAUCGUGACAUAUCACUGGGCCUUGCACCCAAGUGAUGGGAGUUUUCUCUCCUGCUUUGGUGCCGUCCACAAUGAAAAUUGUGAAAUAUUGCUGCCCUCCCCACUAGGUUAUGUUACUCUCCUGCCUCUGCUUUGCCCACAUGGGUCACUGUGACAUAUUGCUGGGUCUAAAACCCAGGUAAUGUCACUCUCUUGUUUGGGUUCUGCCUGCAGGAGUCAUUGUCACAUAUCUCUAUGCUCAUCACCCAGGUAAUAUGAUUCCCUUUUACUGCUUAGUUCCUUCUCACAAAACAACUUGUGACAUAUUGCUAGGCCCAAUACACCUAGCUGGUGUAACUCUUCUUUUCUUUUCUUUCCUUUUUUUUUUUUUUUUUUUGAGAUGGAGUCUCACUCUGUUGCCCAGGCUGGAGUGCAGCGGCAUGAUUUCAGCUCACUACAGCCUCUGCCUCCUAGGUUGAAGCGAUUGUCCUGACUUGGCCUCCCAAGUAGCUGGGAUUAAAGGCAUGUGCCACCACGCCCGGCUAAUUUUUGUAUUUAUAGUAGAGACAGGGUUUCGCCAUGUUGGCUAGGCUGGUUUCGAACUUCUAACCUCAGGUGAUCCUCCUGCCUCGGCCUCCCAAAGUACUGGAAUUACAGGCAUGAGCCACUGCACCUGGCCUGAUUCUUCUCUUCUUUCUAGGUUUCAACUGCAGCAGAGAUUGUAACAAACCACUGGGCCCAGCCGCAUAAUGAUGUUACUCUUUUGCCUUGGGCCUGCCCUCAGAAGGCACUGUCACAUAUUCAUGGGCCCAACGCCAAGGUGAUAUGUGUCUCCAGCCUGGACCCUGCCCACAGGGGGCAUUGUGACAUAUCUCUUGGCCCAUCAGAUGUUUGAUUGUUAUCCCCUCCCCUCUUCUACCCUGUGUUUGCCUAUAAAAGACACAGUCAUAUGUUCCUGGGCCCAGCACCUAGGUGUUGUCUUACUGGAAUGUGUCCACAUGGGGAUUGUGAUAUGUCACGUGGCCCAGUACUUAACUUGAUGUGACUCUCCUCUCAUGCCUAGGCCUUGUAGAGAAUCCCCUUCCCCUUUUGUUUUCCUUUUUUUCUUUGCAGAUCCAGGAGAUAAUCAACUAAGAGCCAGGCACCCGUUUAGGUCUAAUAAACAUUUUACAAACUGCUCUCUCUUUUAAUUCACCUAUCUGAGAGAUUCCUCUGUACAAUAAAACUUGGUCUCCACAAUCCUUUACCUUAACCUAAACCUUCCCUUUCAUUGAUCCCAGGUCUUCAGAUUCCACCACUUGUCAACCACAAAAUAUUUAAAUUUACCUGGAAGCCGCCCGCUUUGAGUUGUCCCGCCUUUCUGAACCAAACCAAUAUAUUCCUGCAAAACCGGCCAUGAUUAAAACAUCAAAAAAUAAUACAUGUUGGCGUGGCUGUGGUGAAAAAAGAAUACUUUUUCACUGCUGGUGGGUAUGUAAACUAGUACAACCACUAUGAAAAACAGUAUGGAGAUUCAUUAAAUAAAAGUAAAGCUACCAUUUGAUUAAGCAAUUCUACUACUGUGUAUCUACAUGAAGAAAAAGAAAUUAUAUGUGUAAGACACUUGCACACACAUGUUUAUAGCAGCACAAUUUGCAAUUGCAAAAAUAUGGAAGCAGCCUAAUGCCCAUCAGCUAAUGAGUGGAAAAAGAAAAUGUGGCAUAUAUAUACCAAUGCAUACUACUCAGCCCUAACGAGGAAUAAAAUAAUAGCAUUUGCAGCAAUCUCGAUUUAGUUGGAGACCAUUAUUCUAAGUAACUCAGCAAUAAAAAA
RNAcentral lists this long non-coding RNA (3494 nucleotides) under Homo sapiens (human). Its description in RNAcentral is "HSALNT0257507". The record is from RNAcentral. Lineage: Eukaryota; Metazoa; Chordata; Mammalia; Primates; Hominidae.